UUGACGGGGGCCCGCACAAGCGGUGGAGUAUGUGGUUUAAUUCGACGCAACGCGCAGAACCUUACCUGGGCUUAAAUGGGGAGUGACAGCUGUCGAAAGAUGGUUUUCUUCGGACACUCUUCAAGGUGCUGCAUGGUUGUCGUCAGCUCGUGCCGUGAGGUGUCGGGUUAAGUCCCAUAACGAGCGCAACCCUUACCGUUAGUUACCAUCAGGUUAAGCUGGGGACUCUAGCGGGACUGCCACCGUAAGGUGAGAGGAAGGUGGGGAUGACGUCAAAUCAGCACGGCCCUUAUGUCCAGGGCUACACACGUGUUACAAUGGCCGGUACAAAGGGCAGCUACUUCGCGAGAAGAUGCCAAUCUCGAAAGCCGGUCUCAGUUCGGAUCGAAGUCUGCAACCCGACUUCGUGAAGCUGGAUUCGCUAGUAAUCGCGCAUCAGCCAUGGCCGCGGUCGAAUACGUUCCCGGGCCUU
RNAcentral lists this ribosomal RNA (472 nucleotides) under uncultured Sphingobacteriales bacterium. Its description in RNAcentral is "bacterial SSU rRNA". It matches the Rfam family "Bacterial small subunit ribosomal RNA", at positions 910 to 1382 of the family's 1533-position model. Lineage: Bacteria; Pseudomonadati; Bacteroidota; Sphingobacteriia; Sphingobacteriales. The record is from RNAcentral.